AAAAGAAACGGAGAAUGUCAAGAAAGCAAAAAAUGCAACACACAAUCACCAUGGCUAGACGAGCAGCGAGCAAGGCUAGAGAGCCGAUGUGGGUCAGAUGGGAUAUGGCAUUUAUGCAAGAGAGAUCUGGGCUGUUGGAGGAAGAGAACAAGAAGCUUCGUGAUGGGCUCAUUGAUAAAGCAUGGAGAUCUCGAAGAAGCCAAGGCUGUGCUAGAUGACUGGAUUUCAGAGUGCCGAACAUUCUCCUGAUCGGCUACUGUCAGAAAGGUCUCCCUGAUUAAUCCGGGGCUCUGCUUUGGGAUAUUAGCAAAAGGGCAUAUAUACCGACUUCCCUUCUCAAAGGCCAUUGAUUUUACACGACUUCAGAGUGCCUAACAUACCCCUUAUCAGCUACUAUGAGAAGGGUCACCCUGAUAAAUACGAGGCUCUGCUUCGGGAUAUUAAUAAAAGGGGAUAAAUAUCGACCUCCCUUCACAA
Salvia splendens (bonfire salvia) is the source of this 477-nucleotide long non-coding RNA. RefSeq lists it as uncharacterized. The transcript has 3 exons. The record is from RefSeq and is a predicted model, not a curated record. NCBI's taxonomy places the organism in Eukaryota, Viridiplantae, Streptophyta, Magnoliopsida, Lamiales, Lamiaceae.